UGACGCUGGCGCGUGCCUAACACAUGCAAGUCAGCGAUUUACUUCGGUAAAGAGCGGCGGACGGGUGAGUAACGCGUGGGUAACCUGCCUCAUACACAUGGAUAACAUACCGAAAGGGUAUGCUAAAUACAGGAUAAUAUAAGAGAUUCACAUGGAUUUCUUAUCAAAGCUCCGGCGGUAUGAGAUGGACCCGCGUCUGAUUAGCUAGUUGGUAAGGUAAUGGCUUACCAAGGCGACGAUCAGUAGCCGACCUGAGAGGGUGAUCGGCCACAUUGGAACUGAGACACGGUCCAAACUCCUACGGGAGGCAGCAGUGGGGAAUAUUGCACAAUGGGCGAAAGCCUGAUGCAGCAACGCCGCGUGAGUGAUGAAGGCCUUCGGGUCGUAAAACUCUGUCCUCAAGGAAGAUAAUGACGGUACUUGAGGAGGAAGCCCCGGCUAACUACGUGCCAGCCGCCGC
Molecule: ribosomal RNA, 460 nt
Filed under: uncultured bacterium
Lineage: Bacteria
Description: bacterial SSU rRNA
Rfam family: Bacterial small subunit ribosomal RNA
Source: RNAcentral